CCUACGGGUGACAGCAGUGAGGAAUAUUGGUCAAUGGACGAGAGUCUGAACCAGCCAAGUAGCGUGAAGGAUGACUGCCCUAUGGGUUGUAAACUUCUUUUAUAUGGGAAUAAAAUGUUCCACGUGUGGGAUUUUGUAUGUACCAUAUGAAUAAGGAUCGGCUAACUCCGUGCCAGCAGCCGCGGUAAUACGGAGGAUCCGAGCGUUAUCCGGAUUUAUUGGGUUUAAAGGGAGCGUAGGUGGAUUGUUAAGUCAGUUGUGAAAGUUUGCGGCUCAACCGUAAAAUGGCAGUUGAAACUGGCAGUCUUGAGUACAGUAGAGGUGGGCGGAAUUCGUGGUGUAGCGGUGAAAUGCUUAGAUAUCACGAAGAACUCCGAUUGCGAAGGCAGUUCACUGGACUGCAACUGACACUGAGGCUCGAAAGUGUGGGUAUCAAACAGGAUUAGAUACCCUUGUAGUC
RNAcentral lists this ribosomal RNA (460 nucleotides) under uncultured bacterium. Its description in RNAcentral is "partial 16S ribosomal RNA". It matches the Rfam family "Bacterial small subunit ribosomal RNA", at positions 338 to 795 of the family's 1533-position model. The record is from RNAcentral.